This 574-nucleotide long non-coding RNA is filed under the name Homo sapiens (human). RNAcentral's name for it is "HSALNT0127817". The record is from RNAcentral. Lineage: Eukaryota; Metazoa; Chordata; Mammalia; Primates; Hominidae.
CAAAGAAUGCUCACACUGAAGCAUCAGGAAUGCAAACAUGAUAAAAAAUUUAAAAGUACCCUUACGAGAAAACAUUUUAAAAAUGGCAAUGACAGUAAACUGGUCAGGUUCUACCACAGACUGUUGGGUCUGCGGCUUCUUAUCAGGAGUUUUCUCACAAGAAGUUUUCAAACAGCAAAACCAAAAGGAUUCCUGGAACUACAGUGUUGAACACUAUUCAGUAAGUAGAGUCUCUGAACCAGAACAACCUGCCAUGGCACACACAUUUUGCUUCAUUCAUGCUUCCAGUGAUUCCUCUUGCGAGCUUUUUCUGUGCAUUUGGCCUAGAAGGACAGUUUGGGGUUGACAAUGAUGGUCCUGUUGAACCCAAGAGAUUCCAUUUUCCAAGCCUCUGCCUAUAAGGGGUUCUCAGGGCCUGCUGAGAUGUGUUCCAUCAGCACAGAAACCAUGAUGUGGCAUUCAGUAGAUCCAGGUUCCCAGGAAACUCAAGGCAAAAUAAAAUAGAACUGAACAUCAGUGAAUUUUGUACAACAAAAACAGCUUUUAAUAUGGAAUAGUCCAUGAACAUUUUAAA